Molecule: ribosomal RNA, 468 nt
Filed under: uncultured bacterium
Lineage: Bacteria
Description: partial 16S ribosomal RNA
Rfam family: Bacterial small subunit ribosomal RNA
Source: RNAcentral
GACGAACGCUGGCGGCGUGCUUAACACAUGCAAGUCGAACGGAAAGGCCCUGCUUUUGUGGGGUGCUCGAGUGGCGAACGGGUGAGUAACACGUGAGUAACCUGCCCUUGACUUUGGGAUAACUUCAGGAAACUGGGGCUAAUACCGGAUAGGAGCUCCUGCUGCAUGGUGGGGGUUGGAAAGUUUCGGCGGUUGGGGAUGGACUCGCGGCUUAUCAGCUUGUUGGUGGGGUAGUGGCUUACCAAGGCUUUGACGGGUAGCCGGCCUGAGAGGGUGACCGGCCCCAUUGGGACUGGGAUACGGGCCAGAAUCCUACGGGGGGCAGCAGUGGGGAAUAUUGCACAAUGGGCGGAAGCCUGAUGCAGCAACGCCGCGUGCGGGAUGACGGCCUUCGGGUUGUAAACCGCUUUCGCCUGUGACGAAGCGUGAGUGACGGUAAUGGGUAAAGAAGCACCGGCUAACUACGUG